UGCAGCCUUGUCAAAUUCGAUGCCACCUCCACCCAUGGUGCCGCAUCGGCCCAAGGGCUGCAACAGCAUCACAUCGUGCUUCAUGGGCCCCACAUCCCUGCUGCGGUGGGAUGGAGGGGAUAAAAACAUGCCACGUACACUG
Coturnix japonica (Japanese quail) is the source of this 142-nucleotide small nucleolar RNA. Lineage: Eukaryota; Metazoa; Chordata; Aves; Galliformes; Phasianidae. The record is from Ensembl.